RNAcentral lists this ribosomal RNA (253 nucleotides) under uncultured bacterium. RNAcentral's name for it is "partial 16S ribosomal RNA". It matches the Rfam family "Bacterial small subunit ribosomal RNA", at positions 524 to 776 of the family's 1533-position model. The record is from RNAcentral.
UACGUAGGUGGCAAGCGUUGUCCGGAUUUACUGGGCGUAAAGCGUAUGCAGGCGGAUGGUUAAGUAGGAAGUGAAAGGUUGGAGCUCAACUCUAACACUGCUCCCUAUACUGGCCGUCUUGAGUGCCGGAGAGGACCAGGGAACUUCACGUGUAGCGGUGAAAUGCGUUGAGAUGUGAAGGAACACCAAUGGCGAAAGCACUGGUCUGGACGGAGACUGACGCUGAGAUACGAAAGCCAAGGGAGCGAACAGG